Molecule: transfer RNA, 75 nt
Filed under: Methanosarcinaceae archaeon
Lineage: Archaea; Methanobacteriati; Methanobacteriota; Methanomicrobia; Methanosarcinales; Methanosarcinaceae
Description: tRNA-Pro
Source: RNAcentral
GGGGUAGUAGGGUAGCCUGGUCCAUCCUCGGACGUUCGGGACGUUCGGACUGCGGUUCAAAUCCGCGCUACCCCA